GGGACGACGAAGGAACCCCAGCCGGCGGUCGCCGCGAAGGAGCUUCUCCCGGAGCAUGCUGCGAAGAGAAACGGGACGGGUGGCGCGUGCCCGCCCCCCUCGUGGCGGGAAUCCGGCUUGGGGUGGAUCACCGACCCGCGAGGUGAUCUUGUAGGCGGCGGAUGCCAUUCGACGAUCCAAGAAGGCCCAACACUUGGAUGCCCCUCGGUGGAGUCUUGUCGGACGUCCCGAUGUUUUCUGAAAGAGAAAUCGCCAUGGCAGACUUGCAACCACUUCAGGAGACAACAAAAGUAGCCGCUUGUGUGGUAUGCUACAGCAACGGAGACUGUCCAGUCUGAAAGGGAGACGUUCCAAACCUUAUUUUGACUCUUGUGUACUCGUGACAGUGAUGACAAAACUAGCAGCCUCUAUGUCUCCUUAGAUAUCGUUUGCUGUAUCGGUUUAACUGGGUGGAGCACAAAAGAAAGUCUUCGAAUGAGCUGCUACUUUCUUUCAGUCAACAACUGCGGCUGUUUUCAGUGUAGUCUUGUGUUCUCCAACUAUGUCAUGAAGUAAAGCGUGCAUCUUCACCAUGAGGUUGUGGUUGUACUUGGCAUUCAUGAGAUUGUAGCACAAC
Musa acuminata AAA Group (dessert banana) is the source of this 616-nucleotide long non-coding RNA. RefSeq lists it as uncharacterized. The transcript has 4 exons. Lineage: Eukaryota; Viridiplantae; Streptophyta; Magnoliopsida; Zingiberales; Musaceae. The record is from RefSeq and is a predicted model, not a curated record.